AACGCUGGCGGCAUGCCUUACACAUGCAAGUCGAACGGCAGCACGGGAGCAAUCCUGGUGGCGAGUGGCGAACGGGUGAGUAAUAUAUCGGAACGUGCCCAGUCGUGGGGGAUAACGCAGCGAAAGCUGUGCUAAUACCGCAUACGAUCUACGGAUGAAAGCGGGGGAUCGCAAGACCUCGCGCGAUUGGAGCGGCCGAUAUCAGAUUAGGUUGUUGGUGGGGUAAAAGCCCACCAAGCCGACGAUCUGUAGCUGGUCUGAGAGGACGACCAGCCACACUGGAACUGAGACACGGUCCAGACUCCUACGGGAGGCAGCAGUGGGGAAUUUUGGACAAUGGGCGCAAGCCUGAUCCAGCAAUGCCGCGUGCAGGAUGAAGGCCUUCGGGUUGUAAACUGCUUUUGUACGGAACGAAACGGUCUGCUCUAAUACAGCGGGCUAAUGACGGUACCGUAAGAAUAAGCACCGGCUAACUACGUGCCAGCAGCCGCGGUAAUACGUAGGGUGCGAGCGUUAAUCGGAAUUACUGGGCGUAAAGCGUGCGCAGGCGGUUAUAUAAGACAGAUGUGAAAUCCCCGGGCUCAACCUGGGACCUGCAUUUGUGACUGUAU
This 611-nucleotide ribosomal RNA is filed under the name Pseudomonadota bacterium. Its description in RNAcentral is "bacterial SSU rRNA". It matches the Rfam family "Bacterial small subunit ribosomal RNA", at positions 32 to 638 of the family's 1533-position model. Lineage: Bacteria; Pseudomonadati; Pseudomonadota. The record is from RNAcentral.